GUCCAAUCUUUUGUAGUAGCCACUUAGCCACAAACACUUGCCAAAGUUAGCAUUCAUAUUUGUUUUUUGCAUUUUUUACACAAAAACUGCACUUUUACAGGUGAUUUCAUUGUCUUGAAAAGUUUUACUGUUUUAAACACUCAUAUUGAUGUUCAGCGAAGUUUCCCGAGUAUAACAAUACCCACCAUGUACAGGUUUUUAAAGGUGUUUUGGAAAGUUACAGGGUUAAUAUAGAGCUUGCCCAAUUCAGUUGCCAGAUUGGUUUGCUGAGUCUAUGUUGCCUUUUGAAACCAUAUGAUAGCCCAGGAAUGUGAAUUAACCUCAUCAUGGCAAAUUCAUUUUCAAAUG
Molecule: non-coding RNA, 348 nt
Organism: Pelobates cultripes (western spadefoot toad)
Lineage: Eukaryota; Metazoa; Chordata; Amphibia; Anura; Pelobatidae
Source: the annotation of a GenBank genome assembly